Molecule: ribosomal RNA, 496 nt
Filed under: uncultured archaeon
Lineage: Archaea
Description: bacterial SSU rRNA
Rfam family: Archaeal small subunit ribosomal RNA
Source: RNAcentral
UCCGGGUUGAUCCUGCCAGAGGUUACUGCUAUCGGUGUUCGACUAAGCCAUGCGAGUCAUAUGUUCUUCGUGAACAUGGCGGACUGCUCAGUAACACGUGGAUAACCUGCCCUUAGGUUCGGCAUAACUCCGGGAAACUGGAGAUAAUUCCGAAUAGGUCACAUAUGCUGGAAUGCUUUUUGACCAAAAGACCUCGGUUGCCUAAGGAUGGAUCUGCGGUCUAUCAGGUAGUAGUGGGUGUAACGUACCUACUAGCCUACGACGGAUAUGGGUUGUGAGAGCAAGAGCCCAGAGAUGGAUUCUGAGACAUGAAUCCAGGCCCUACGGGGCGCAGCAGGCGCGAAAACUUUACAAUGCGGGAAACCGCGAUAAGGGGACACCGAGUGCCAGCAUUUAUGUUGGCUGUCCACAUGUGUAAACGGCAUGUGUUAGCAAGGGCCGGGCAAGACCGGUGCCAGCCGCCGCGGUAACACCGGCGGCCCGAGUGGUAAUCACU